CCUACGGGGUGCAGCAGUGAGGAAUAUUGGUCAAUGGGCGUAAGCCUGAACCAGCCAAGUCGCGUGAGGGAUGAAGGUUCUAUGGAUCGUAAACCUCUUUUAUAAGGGAAUAAAGUGUGGGACGUGUCCUGUUUUGUAUGUACCUUAUGAAUAAGGAUCGGCUAACUCCGUGCCAUCAGCCGCGGUAAUACGGAGGAUCCGAGCGUUAUCCGGAUUUAUUGGGUUUAAAGGGUGCGUAGGCGGCCUUUUAAGUCAGCGGUGAAAGUCUGUGGCUCAACCAUAGAAUUGCCGUUGAAACUGGGAGGCUUGAGUAUGUUUGAGGCAGGCGGAAUGCGUGGUGUAGCGGUGAAAUGCUUAGAUAUCACGCAGAACCCCGAUUGCGAAGGCAGCCUGCCAAGCCAUGACUGACGCUGAUGCACGAAAGCGUGGGGAUCAAACAGGAUUAGAUACCCGGGUAGUC
RNAcentral lists this ribosomal RNA (460 nucleotides) under uncultured bacterium. RNAcentral describes it as "partial 16S ribosomal RNA". It matches the Rfam family "Bacterial small subunit ribosomal RNA", at positions 338 to 795 of the family's 1533-position model. The record is from RNAcentral.